Coturnix japonica (Japanese quail) is the source of this 715-nucleotide long non-coding RNA. RefSeq lists it as uncharacterized. The record is from RefSeq and is a predicted model, not a curated record. Lineage: Eukaryota; Metazoa; Chordata; Aves; Galliformes; Phasianidae.
CUAUAUUUCCUCGCGGCGUGCGCGCCUUGAUUUCACUUUGCCUGGGGAAAAAAAGUUGUGCCGCGGCUCUCCAUGCUAAUACAGAGGUGUGAUUGUAAAGUUCUACUGGUCAUCCCUCUGAAAUCACAAGUUCCAUAUACAUUCCUUACCUGGAGGCAAAGAGGAUGUGCACAUUCACACUUGAGUCCCAUUGACCUUCAGUGAGCUUUGGGCUUCUAAUCACCUUUGAGAAAAGAAUCCUACCUUUGCUGAAUAUCAUAUACUCCCAGAAGUUUCAUAUUAAUGAAGAAAUCAACAGACUAUUGAAGUUCUCUCCUCACUUUCAGUUGAUCUUUCUCCUUCCCUAGGAACGAGCAGUCCAUACCUUCCAGCAUCACUCUCCAGAGUGCGCCUUGACCUCCUUUCCAGGCAGGAGAGAAACUGUCACCGAGAUUCUUCAGAAACCUGAGGCCAACAGCUCUUCAUUUAAAAUAGUGUCACUUGGCCGAAGUCAAAGAUAUAACUGAGAGGGCAGUGUGUCUGGAAAGAUCACUUAAAGCCAACAAUUUUUCACAUUUCUAUUCUGUAGAGCCCCAGUAAGGUUUCAGCUUCCACCAAAUCUCUGCUAGCACUAACUACUCCCAAACCAACUAAUUCUAUAUUAAUUAAACAGACUCUUUCUCCCCGCUGUAAAAACACAGGAACUAAAAAUAAACCUGUUACAAAAUAUGCUUUU